GAGAGGCCCAAACGUUAUUCGGAUUUACUGGGCUUAAAGAGUUCGUAGGCGGCGCGGAAAGUGGGGUGUGAAAGCCCUCGGCUCAACCGAGGAAUUGCGCUCCAAACUACCGUGCUUGAGGAAGCUAGAGGUGAGCAGAACAGAUGGUGGAGCGGUGAAAUGCGUUGAUAUCAUCUGGAAUACCGGAGGCGAAGGCGGCUCACUGGGGCUUUUCUGACGCUGAGGAACGAAAGCCAGGGUAGCGAACGGGAUUAGAUACCCCGGUAGUCCUGGCCGUAAACGAUGAGCACUGGGCCGGAGGACUGCACAGUUUUCCGGCCGUAGCGAAAGUGUUAAGUGCUCCGCCUGGGGAGUAUGGUCGCAAGGCUG
This 369-nucleotide ribosomal RNA is filed under the name uncultured organism. RNAcentral's name for it is "bacterial SSU rRNA". It matches the Rfam family "Bacterial small subunit ribosomal RNA", at positions 527 to 896 of the family's 1533-position model. The record is from RNAcentral.